AAGAAGUGGACGAAGGCUGAAGAAGCAAUCUCUGCCUCCCUAUCGCUGCGUCCUGCUCCUCAAUAUGUCACCUUAGUCAUGGCCGCCUUAUCCCUCAUGCUGCUGAUUUGAAUCUGCCCUACUCUUCUUCUCCUAGACUGCUCGAGCGCUUCAGCGGGUGCCUUGCCGACGACAGGGAAGGAAGGACCAGAAAGCCACGAAAUUGAGGUACGCAGAAGAUGAAGAAACCUGAGAAUUGAUGAUCGAAUGAAGAGUCGGAGCUCGAGCAUCACAUAGUCGUCAGCUAUGGUGGCUUGUGGGCGGAUGUUUCUCAGACCUAAGUUGUUGCCGCUGGACCGUGGUUACAUUCAUCCUAGCUUGGAGGAAAUGGUGCGGGAAGAUAUGCAUGUGUAGGGCGAAGAAGUGGACGAAGGCCGAAGUAGCAAUCUCUGCCUCCCUAUCGCUGCGUCCUGCUCCUCAAUAUGUCACCUUAGUCAUGGCCGCCUUAUCCCUCAUGCUGCUGAUUUGAAUCUGCCCUACUCUUCUUCUCCUAGACUGCUCGAGCGCUUCAGCGGGUGCCUUGCCGACGACAGGGAAGGAAGGACCAGAGUAAGUAUAAUAUGGAAGUUCCUGUUCAAAUUAGUAGAAUAUGCUUACCAGGUGUUAGAAUUUAUAGAUAUAUACCACAAUUUUCACUACAGAUUAAAUAUAAUAUGAAAGUUCUUGUCAGUUUUCUUUGUAGUUAGUUUGCGACAAUCACAACAUGAUCAUUUGAAUAUUUUGUUGUAACAAAUCUAUUAUAGCUAUUGUUGUGAAAGAAAAAUCCUUAAAAAAUCA
Triticum aestivum (bread wheat) is the source of this 816-nucleotide long non-coding RNA. RefSeq lists it as uncharacterized. The record is from RefSeq and is a predicted model, not a curated record. The transcript is spliced from 2 exons. Lineage: Eukaryota; Viridiplantae; Streptophyta; Magnoliopsida; Poales; Poaceae.